RNA transcript from Galleria mellonella (greater wax moth), 1247 nucleotides. RefSeq lists it as uncharacterized. The transcript has 2 exons. NCBI's taxonomy places the organism in Eukaryota, Metazoa, Arthropoda, Insecta, Lepidoptera, Pyralidae. The record is from RefSeq and is a predicted model, not a curated record.
AACACAUGUGUAUGUGUAAAACACAUACACACAAGGGGAAAGGGAUUGUUAGUAAUGGAGACUAAAAAUCCUAUUGCUAGUAAUAUACCCAACCAGGUUGAUCUCCUCGUGAUUUCCCCUGGAAACUAUCAUGGUUAAUUCGUGAUGAAUUCAUCAUGAUGAGCUAACUGGCCUGUUUACAUUCUCAUCGAUCACCCUUCACUGGUGCUUCGCCAGCGUAUCCUGUUAGCGCAGGCGGGGUUACCAUUCAAUUUUCACCCAUCAAAAAAAAAAACACACAGAUGUGAAACACAUAUGUACGUAAACUACAUAAGUUAUACAGUAUCGUAAACGUAAUAUAUGACACAAAUGUCUAUAUAUAAGCCAGUAAACUUCAAUAUUAAAUAGGUUAAAACGAGCUGACAAGUAAAUAACAAAUCGUUACAUAGUAUACUUAGUAUGAACGAUUAGUGAGGGUUGCAUGAAGCGUACUAGCCACAGUAAGGUUUCCCUGUGUUGGUUGUUAGUUGUCUUGGAAACCCCACUCUGCUCUUCCUCUCUAUGAACUACUAAUAUCCGGCUGUCAGACCCCUUUUGUUCACAUUGUUUCCGGCCGAACGAUCCAAGUUUAAACUGUGCGGAUUUUUUAAUCGAAUGAUUUAAAAGUUAUUAUUCAAAAAUUUUGCGUGUUAAGUGCAUUAUUAUUUUUGACAACGCUGUGGGAGUUACUUUCCUUUGUAAAAAUAGGGAUUAGCUUCGAAUUAUGGCCGGGUUAUUAGGAUUAAUGUCGGGGUGCACCGUCUGGCGCAUGGCGGAUCACCUGGCGCAUCGAGGCCUGUUGUUUGUUGCCACAAUGUGCAUUUUCCUGGCAGUUUUCUUCGCACGGUUUCACCGUGAGAACAUCGGGGCGUGAUCUACCAGUGAAAGUGUCACCUCACGGUGCUGAGUCUUGGAACGAUUCAAUAAUCUACGUGACGAAGAGUUCGCGGGCACCUGCAAGAGAGAAGUGUUAUGUUGUUUUACCGAAAUCGAAAGUGACGUGAGUAGAUCUGACUAAUUUGUAAUGUAUAAUAACGUGUUCGUAGGUUGUCGGUCUUUAUGGAAGAAAAUAAUGUUUAGCUUCUAAUAUCCACAUAGAUACGCCUGACUAAAAAAACAAAAAUUAAAAUCAAAUAGAUAUUUAUGUAUCUGAUUUAAAUAUUACAUAAUAUUACUUAGCUAGAUGAAAGCUUUUCGUGCUAAAACUAUUUUAUCUGUAUUUUUAUUUU